Molecule: ribosomal RNA, 253 nt
Filed under: uncultured bacterium
Lineage: Bacteria
Description: partial 16S ribosomal RNA
Rfam family: Bacterial small subunit ribosomal RNA
Source: RNAcentral
UACGUAGGGUGCGAGCGUUAAUCGGAAUUACUGGGCGUAAAGCGCACGUAGGCGGCUUGGUAUGUCGGGUGUGAAAUCCCCGGGCUCAACCUGGGAACUGCAUCCGAAACUGCCUUGCUCGAGUAUGGGAGAGGGAAGUGGAAUUUCCGGUGUAGCGGUGAAAUGCGUAGAGAUCGGGAAGAACAUCGGUGGCGAAGGCGGCCAGCUGGGCCGUUGCUGACGCUGAGGCGCGACAGCGUGGGGAGCAAACAGG